Molecule: transfer RNA, 73 nt
Filed under: Oryzias minutillus (dwarf medaka)
Lineage: Eukaryota; Metazoa; Chordata; Actinopteri; Beloniformes; Adrianichthyidae
Description: tRNA-Thr
Rfam family: tRNA
About the family: Transfer RNA (tRNA) molecules are approximately 80 nucleotides in length. Their secondary structure includes four short double-helical elements and three loops (D, anti-codon, and T loops).
Source: RNAcentral
GCACUAGUAGCUCAGCAUAAAGAGCGCCGGUCUUGUAAGCCGGAUGGCGAAGGUUUAAAUCCUUCCUUGUGCU